UGGGGAAUAUUGCGCAAUGGGGGAAACCCUGACGCAGCAACGCCGCGUGAAGGAUGAAGGCUUUCGGGUUGUAAACUUCUUUGAUGAGGGACGAAAGAAAUGACGGUACCUCAAAAACAAGCCACGGCUAACUACGUGCCAGCAGCCGCGGUAAUACGUAGGUGGCGAGCGUUGUCCGGAAUUACUGGGUGUAAAGGGCGUGUAGGCGGGGAUGCAAGUCAGAUGUGAAAUGCCGGGGCUUAACUGCGGAGCUGCAUCUGAAACUGUGUUUCUUGAGUGUCGGAGAGGAAAGCGGAAUUCCCAGUGUAGCGGUGAAAUGCGUAGAUAUUGGGAGGAACACCAGUGGCGAAGGCGGCUUUCUGGACGAUAACUGACGCUGAGGCGCGAAAGCGUGGGGAGCAAACA
This 405-nucleotide ribosomal RNA is filed under the name uncultured bacterium. RNAcentral's name for it is "bacterial SSU rRNA". It matches the Rfam family "Bacterial small subunit ribosomal RNA", at positions 355 to 774 of the family's 1533-position model. The record is from RNAcentral.